Molecule: ribosomal RNA, 446 nt
Filed under: uncultured bacterium
Lineage: Bacteria
Description: partial 16S ribosomal RNA
Rfam family: Bacterial small subunit ribosomal RNA
Source: RNAcentral
CCUACGGGGUGCAGCAGUCGAGAAUCAUUCACAAUGGGGGAAACCCUGAUGGUGCGACGCCGCGUGGGGGAAUGAAGGUCUUCGGAUUGUAAACCCCUGUUAUGUGGGAGCAAAUUAAAAAGAUAGUACCACAAGAGGAAGAGACGGCUAACUCUGUGCCAGCAGCCGCGGUAAUACAGAGGUCUCAAGCGUUGUUCGGAAUCACUGGGCGUAAAGCGUGCGUAGGCUGUUUCGUAAGUCGUGUGUGAAAGGCGCGGGCUCAACCCGCGGACGGCACAUGAUACUGCGAGACUAGAGUAAUGGAGGGGGAACCGGAAUUCUCGGUGUAGCAGUGAAAUGCGUAGAUAUCGAGAGGAACACUCGUGGCGAAGGCGGGUUCCUGGACAUUAACUGACGCUGAGGCACGAAGGCCAGGGGAGCGAAAAGGAUUAGAUACCCGGGUAGUC